GUAUUUUAUUAAUUUCUGGUUUAUUUUAUUUUUGGUUUCAAAUAUGAUGGUGAUGAGGAAAUUCUGUAUGUCAUUAAUUCCUUUUAUAUUUUAUUUUAUUUUAGCAUUCAGUGACUUUAAAUGCGACGGUGAUGGGGAAAGGAAAGUCGCAGUAAAAAGGAUUCUGCUCUGAAGACUGUACAUGCCAAGAUUAACAGCCCGUGCUUUGCUACUUACACCUCGCCGUGGUUCUCCCCCGCCAUCCCCGAGAAGAGGGUCAUGGGCUACCUUGGGAGCUGUUGGAAGCAGCAGAGGCACAACUCUUUCCCUGAGGUGCUCCUAGACACCCUGCAACUAUAUUCAACCCUUCAGUACAGGUUUGCCCCAAAGGUACAGGCUGCUCUAAGCAAGAAGUCAAGCGCUGCUCUGGAAAACAGACUUGUCUUCAUGCGGUUCCUCAUCGGAAGAUACAAGCUGUCACGAUCCCUUGCCAAUCACACGAGAACUGACCUAGGGAGAACAGCAGCUGAAGGUUAUAAGUUCCUGUUGCAUUUUUGA
This 537-nucleotide long non-coding RNA is filed under the name Calidris pugnax (ruff). RNAcentral describes it as "lncRNA (ENSCPUG00000002844.1)". The record is from RNAcentral. Lineage: Eukaryota; Metazoa; Chordata; Aves; Charadriiformes; Scolopacidae.